Molecule: ribosomal RNA, 497 nt
Filed under: uncultured bacterium
Lineage: Bacteria
Description: partial 16S ribosomal RNA
Rfam family: Bacterial small subunit ribosomal RNA
Source: RNAcentral
GAUGAACGCUGGCGGCGUGCCUAAUACAUGCAAGUCGAGCGACCAGAUGAGGAGCUUGCUCCUCUGACGUUAGCGGCGGACGGGUGAGUAACACGUGGAUAACCUACCUAUAAGACUUGGAUAACUUCGUGAAACCGGAGCUAAUACCGGCUCAUAUAUUGAACCGCAUGGUUCAAUAGUUAAAGACGGUUUUGCUGUCACUUAUAGAUGGAUCCGCGCCGCAUUAGCUAGUUGGUAAGGUAACGGCUUACCAAGGCGACGAUGCGUAGCCGACCUGAGAGGAUGAUCGGCCACACUGGAACUGAGACACGGUCCAGACUCCGACGGGAGGCAGCAGUAGGGAAUCUUCCGCAAUGGGCGAAAGCCUGACGGAGCAACGCCGCGUGAGUGAUGAAGGUCUUCGGAUCGUAAAACUCUGUUAUUAGGGAAGAACAAAUGUGUAAGUAAAUAUGCACGUCUUGACGGUACCUAAUCAGAAAGCAACGGCUAACUACGUG